CGUAUUUCAGCCCACUUGGAUCACGGAACAACCUUUCCGUAUGCAAGACACUCCCUCUUCCCAAUUAAAAGUACAGGUAGGUGUGGAUACGGAACGGAAAAAGUGAUCCAAGCAUAGAUACUACAUACACACAUGGAUAUGAAACAGGAAGUCGGUAUCCAAUUAACUCUUUGAAGUUCACCUGUAAACGUCAUAACCAGCAUAGCUCUAUCCUUGGCGCUUUUCUCUCUGUCUAUGUUUUCAAGAAUUUUCUUGACUCACUUAUUUUUGUGAAAGAAGGCCUCAUGUUUACAUGACAAAAUUAGAAGACCUCCAUUUUUAUUUGUAACCACCUUUUCUAGACUCGGCGAACGGAGUUAGCUAGUAAGUCUUGGAAUCAUAAUAGUGUAUUGUUUGUUACAUGGACUGAAACUAUUCUCGUGUCAAUGUAAUGAGAAAUGACUGAGAUAAUAGCCAAAAACUAGUUUUUUUAAUAUUAAUUUUGUAACCACCUUUUUGAGACUUCUGCACCAGGUAUGAACAAGUUACUACUUUGAGUGUAUUCAUUAAGGUCUCUUAUAUAGACUGUUUAUGGUUUCAUUUUUCUAGAUGCUAUGUUUCAAAAUGAGAACUGAGUAGUGAAAGAAUAGGUUAUUUACCAAGGAACACAAGCAGGAUGUCAGUGGCAUUGAUGAGACAUUGUUACAUGAUUGUAAAGCUUCAUAUUUAUGCUACCACAGAGGAGUACUAUCAAGAUAGAGAUGAUGUACAUUACAGUAUGUAC
Molecule: long non-coding RNA, 763 nt
Organism: Amphimedon queenslandica
Lineage: Eukaryota; Metazoa; Porifera; Demospongiae; Haplosclerida; Niphatidae
Exons: 3
Source: RefSeq, a predicted model, not a curated record